AGUGAACGCUGGCGGUAGGCCUAACACAUGCAAGUCGAACGGCAGCACAGUAAGAGCUUGCUCUUACGGGUGGCGAGUGGCGGACGGGUGAGGAAUACAUCGGAAUCUACUUUUUCGUGGGGGAUAACGUAGGGAAACUUACGCUAAUACCGCAUACGACCUACGGGUGAAAGCAGGGGAUCUUCGGACCUUGCGCGAUUGAAUGAGCCGAUGUCGGAUUAGCUAGUUGGCGGGGUAAAGGCCCACCAAGGCGACGAUCCGUAGCUGGUCUGAGAGGAUGAUCGGCCAAACGGAAACUGGGACACGGUCCAGACUCCAACGGGAGGCAGCAGUGGGAAAUAUUGAGCAAUGGGCGCAAUCCUGAUCCAGCCAUACCGCGUGGGUGAAGAAGGCCUUCGGGUUGUAAGCCCUUUUGUUGGGAAAGAAAAGCAGCAGGUUAAUACCCCGCUGUUCUGACGGUACCCAAAGAAUAAGCACCGGCUAACUUCGUG
This 491-nucleotide ribosomal RNA is filed under the name uncultured bacterium. RNAcentral describes it as "partial 16S ribosomal RNA". It matches the Rfam family "Bacterial small subunit ribosomal RNA", at positions 29 to 507 of the family's 1533-position model. The record is from RNAcentral.